This 602-nucleotide ribosomal RNA is filed under the name Lodderomyces orthopsilosis. RNAcentral's name for it is "eukaryotic LSU rRNA". It matches the Rfam family "Eukaryotic large subunit ribosomal RNA", at positions 43 to 662 of the family's 3401-position model. The record is from RNAcentral. Lineage: Eukaryota; Fungi; Ascomycota; Pichiomycetes; Serinales; Debaryomycetaceae.
UCCAAAAGCGGAGGAAAAGAAACCAACAGGGAUUGCCUUAGUAGCGGCGAGUGAAGCGGCAAAAGCUCAAAUUUGAAAUCUGGCACUUUCAGUGUCCGAGUUGUAAUUUGAAGAAGGUAUCUUUGGGUCUGGCUCUUGUCUAUGUUUCUUGGAACAGAACGUCACAGAGGGUGAGAAUCCCGUGCGAUGAGAUGUCCCAGACCUAUGUAAAGUUCCUUCGAAGAGUCGAGUUGUUUGGGAAUGCAGCUCUAAGUGGGUGGUAAAUUCCAUCUAAAGCUAAAUAUUGGCGAGAGACCGAUAGCGAACAAGUACAGUGAUGGAAAGAUGAAAAGAACUUUGAAAAGAGAGUGAAAAAGUACGUGAAAUUGUUGAAAGGGAAGGGCUUGAGAUCAGACUUGGUAUUUUGUAUGUUACUCUCUCGGGGGUGGCCUCUACAGUUUACCGGGCCAGCAUCAGUUUGGGCGGUAGGACAAUUGCAAAGAAAUGUGGCACUGCCUCGGUAGUGUGUUAUAGUCUUUGUCGAUACUGCCAGCCUAGACUGAGGACUGCGGCUUCGGCCUAGGAUGUUGGCAUAAUGAUCUUAAGUCGCCCGUCUUGACCAC